GCCUUCGUGGCCAAGUGGUAAGGCGUCGGUCUCGUAAACCGAAGAUCCAGGGUUCAAUCCCCUGCGGAGGCA
RNAcentral lists this transfer RNA (72 nucleotides) under Biomphalaria glabrata. It matches the Rfam family "tRNA". From Rfam's summary of the family: Transfer RNA (tRNA) molecules are approximately 80 nucleotides in length. Their secondary structure includes four short double-helical elements and three loops (D, anti-codon, and T loops). The record is from Rfam by way of RNAcentral. Lineage: Eukaryota; Metazoa; Mollusca; Gastropoda; Planorbidae.